This 908-nucleotide ribosomal RNA is filed under the name Colletotrichum truncatum. Its description in RNAcentral is "SSU rRNA". The stretch from base 1 to 466 matches the Rfam family "Eukaryotic small subunit ribosomal RNA", at positions 586 to 1116 of the family's 1831-position model. The record is from RNAcentral. Lineage: Eukaryota; Fungi; Ascomycota; Sordariomycetes; Glomerellales; Glomerellaceae.
UUUCUCCAAUAGCGUAUAUUAAAGUUGUUGUGGUUAAAAAGCUCGUAGUUGAACCUUGGGCCUGGCCGUCCGGUCCGCCUCACCGCGUGUACUGGCUCGGCCGGGCCUUUCCCUCUGUGGAACCCCAUGCCCUUCACUGGGCGUGGCGGGGAAACAGGACUUUUACUGUGAAAAAAUUAGAGUGCUCCAGGCAGGCCUAUGCUCGAAUACAUUAGCAUGGAAUAAUAGAAUAGGACGUGUGGUUCUAUUUUGUUGGUUUCUAGGACCGCCGUAAUGAUUAAUAGGGACAGUCGGGGGCAUCAGUAUUCAAUUGUCAGAGGUGAAAUUCUUGGAUUUAUUGAAGACUAACUACUGCGAAAGCAUUUGCCAAGGAUGUUUUCAUUAAUCAGGAACGAAAGUUAGGGGAUCGAAGACGAUCAGAUACCGUCGUAGUCUUAACCAUAAACUAUGCCGAUUUUCAGCUCCAAUAGCGUAUAUUAAAGUUGUUGUGGUUAAAAAGCUCGUAGUUGAACCUUGGGCCUGGCCGUCCGGUCCGCCUCACCGCGUGUACUGGCUCGGCCGGGCCUUUCCCUCUGUGGAACCCCAUGCCCUUCACUGGGCGUGGCGGGGAAACAGGACUUUUACUGUGAAAAAAUUAGAGUGCUCCAGGCAGGCCUAUGCUCGAAUACAUUAGCAUGGAAUAAUAGAAUAGGACGUGUGGUUCUAUUUUGUUGGUUUCUAGGACCGCCGUAAUGAUUAAUAGGGACAGUCGGGGGCAUCAGUAUUCAAUUGUCAGAGGUGAAAUUCUUGGAUUUAUUGAAGACUAACUACUGCGAAAGCAUUUGCCAAGGAUGUUUUCAUUAAUCAGGAACGAAAGUUAGGGGAUCGAAGACGAUCAGAUACCGUCGUAGUCUUAACCAUAAACUAUG